AUUGAACGCUGGCGGCAGGCCUAACACAUGCAAGUCGAGCGGAUGAAGGGAGCUUGCUCCUGGAUUCAGCGGCGGACGGGUGAGUAAUGCCUAGGAAUCUGCCUGGUAGUGGGGGAUAACGUCCGGAAACGGGCGCUAAUACCGCAUACGUCCUGAGGGAGAAAGUGGGGGAUCUUCGGACCUCACGCUAUCAGAUGGGCCUAGGUCGGAUUAGCUAGUUGGUGGGGUAAAGGCCUACCAAGGCGACGAUCCGUAACUGGUCUGAGAGGAUGAUCAGUCACACUGGAACUGAGACACGGUCCAGACUCCUACGAGAGGCAGCAGUGGGGAAUAUUGGACAAUGGGCGAAAGCCUGAUCCAGCCAUGCCGCGUGUGUGAAGAAGGUCUUCGGAUUGUAAAGCACUUUAAGUUGGGAGGAAGGGCAGUAAGUUAAUACCUUGCUGUUUUGACGUUACCAACAGAAUAAGCACCGGCUAACUUCGUG
Molecule: ribosomal RNA, 484 nt
Filed under: uncultured bacterium
Lineage: Bacteria
Description: partial 16S ribosomal RNA
Rfam family: Bacterial small subunit ribosomal RNA
Source: RNAcentral